Molecule: transfer RNA, 72 nt
Filed under: Fukomys damarensis (Damara mole-rat)
Lineage: Eukaryota; Metazoa; Chordata; Mammalia; Rodentia; Bathyergidae
Rfam family: tRNA
About the family: Transfer RNA (tRNA) molecules are approximately 80 nucleotides in length.
Source: Rfam by way of RNAcentral
AGGGAUGUAGCUCAGUGGUACAGCACCUGCCUGGCAAGUGGGAGGCCCUGAGUUCGAAACCCUGUACCCUCC